RNAcentral lists this ribosomal RNA (297 nucleotides) under uncultured bacterium. Its description in RNAcentral is "partial 16S ribosomal RNA". It matches the Rfam family "Bacterial small subunit ribosomal RNA", at positions 32 to 321 of the family's 1533-position model. The record is from RNAcentral.
AAUCAACGCUGGCGGCGUGCCUCAGACAUGCAAGUCGAACGAUUAAAGCUCUCUUCGGAGAGUGCAUAAAGUGGCGCACGGGUGAGUAACACGUAAGUAAUCUACCUUCGAGUGGGAAGUAACGUCCGGAACGGACGCUAAUACCGCAUAACGCAGCGGCAUCGCAAGAUGACAGUUGUUAAAGAUUUAUCGCUUGAAGAGGAGCUUGCGGCAGAUUAGCUUGUUGGUUAAGGUAACGGCUUACCAAGGCUACGAUCUGCAUCCGGUCUAAGAGGACGGUCGGACACACUGACACUG